Molecule: ribosomal RNA, 429 nt
Filed under: Pseudomonadota bacterium
Lineage: Bacteria; Pseudomonadati; Pseudomonadota
Description: Proteobacteria bacterium partial 16S ribosomal RNA
Rfam family: Bacterial small subunit ribosomal RNA
Source: RNAcentral
UGGGGAAUAUUGGACAAUGGGCGAAAGCCUGAUCCAGCCAUGCCGCGUGUGUGAAGAAGGUCUUCGGAUUGUAAAGCACUGUAAGUUGGGAGGAAGGGCAGUAAGCGAAUACCUUGCUGUUUUGACGUUACCGACAGAAUAAGCACCGGCUAACUCUGUGCCAGCAGCCGCGGUAAUACAGAGGGUGCAAGCGUUAAUCGGAAUUACUGGGCGUAAAGCGCGCGUAGGUGGUUCGUUAAGUUGAAUGUGAAAGCCCCGGGCUCAACCUGGGAACUGCAUCCAAAACUGGCGAGCUAGAGUGGGGCAGAGGGUGGUGGAAUUUCCUGUGUAGCGGUGAAAUGCGUAGAUAUAGGAAGGAACACCAGUGGCGAAGGCGACCACCUGGGCUCAUACUGACACUGAGGUGCGAACGCGUGGGGAGCAAACAGG